This 253-nucleotide ribosomal RNA is filed under the name uncultured bacterium. Its description in RNAcentral is "partial 16S ribosomal RNA". It matches the Rfam family "Bacterial small subunit ribosomal RNA", at positions 524 to 776 of the family's 1533-position model. The record is from RNAcentral.
UACGUAGGUGGCAAGCGUUGUCCGGAUUUACUGGGCGUAAAGAGCGCGCAGGCGGUCGUGCAAGUCGCGUGUGAAAGCCCCCGGCUCAACUGGGGAGGGUCACGCGAUACUGCUCGACUCGAAGGCAGGAGAGGGAAGUGGAAUUCCCGGUGUAGUGGUGAAAUGCGUAGAUAUCGGGAGGAGCACCAGUGGCGAAGGCGACUUCCUGGCCUGUUCUUGACGCUGAGGCGCGAAAGCUAGGGUAGCAAACGGG